UAACAAUGGGAAACCGUUGCUAAUACCGAAUAUGAAUUCGAAGGGCGAUACCUUUGGAAUUUGAAAGGGGCUUUCAAGCCUCGCUAUUAGAUGGACCUGCGGCGCAUUAGCUAGUUGGUGAGAUAACAGCUCACCAAGGCGAGGAUGCGUAGCCGACCUGAGAGGGUGAUCGGCCACAAUGGGACUGAGACACGGCCCAUACUCCUACGGGAGGCAGCAGUAGGGAGUUUUCGGCAAUGGGGGGAACCCUGACCGAGCAAUGCCGCGUGAGUUUAAUGAAGGUCUUAUGGAUCGUAAGGCUCUGUUGUAGGGGAUGAAACGUCUAGGGAGGAAAUGUCCUAGACUUGACAGUACCUUACCAGAAAGCCACGGCUAACUACGUGCCAGCCGCAGC
RNAcentral lists this ribosomal RNA (394 nucleotides) under uncultured bacterium. RNAcentral's name for it is "bacterial SSU rRNA". It matches the Rfam family "Bacterial small subunit ribosomal RNA", at positions 144 to 518 of the family's 1533-position model. The record is from RNAcentral.